RNAcentral lists this ribosomal RNA (197 nucleotides) under Escherichia coli. RNAcentral's name for it is "partial 23S ribosomal RNA". It matches the Rfam family "Bacterial large subunit ribosomal RNA", at positions 2712 to 2925 of the family's 2925-position model. The record is from RNAcentral. Lineage: Bacteria; Pseudomonadati; Pseudomonadota; Gammaproteobacteria; Enterobacterales; Enterobacteriaceae.
GUUUACCGGUUGUGCCGCCAGGUGCAUUGCCGGGUAUCUAAGUCGGGAUUGGAUAAGUGCUGAAAGCAUCUAAGUACGAAGCCAGCCACAAGAUUAGAUUUCUUAGGGUCGUCAUAGACGAUGACGUUGAUAGGAUGCAGGUGUACAGGCAGCGAUGUCAUAGCCGAGCAUUACUAAUUGCCCGUUCACUUUUGGUC